RNAcentral lists this ribosomal RNA (253 nucleotides) under uncultured bacterium. RNAcentral's name for it is "partial 16S ribosomal RNA". It matches the Rfam family "Bacterial small subunit ribosomal RNA", at positions 524 to 776 of the family's 1533-position model. The record is from RNAcentral.
UACAGAGGUCCCAAGCGUUGUUCGGAUUCACUGGGCGUAAAGGGUGCGUAGGCGGUCGGGUAAGUCUGAUGUGAAAUCUCCGGGCUCAACCCGGAAAUGGCAUUGGAUACUAUUCGGCUCGAGGUCUGGAGGGGGGACUGGAAUACUUGGUGUAGCAGUGAAAUGCGUAGAUAUCAAGUGGAACACCAGUGGCGAAGGCGAGUCCCUGGACAGAUCCUGACGCUGAGGUACGAAAGCUAGGGGAGCAAACAGG